AACGAACGCUGGCGGCAGGCUUAACACAUGCGAGUCGAGCGCCCCGCAAGGGUAGCGGCAGACGGGUGAGUAACGCGUGGGAACGUACCUUUUGGUUCGGAACAACUCCGGGAACCUGGAGCUAAUACCGGAUAAGCCCUAACGGGGAAAGUUUUAUCGCCGAAAGCUCGGCCCGCGUCUGAUUAGCUAGUUGGUGAGGUAACGGCUCACCAAGGCGACGAUCAGUAGCUGGUCUGAGAGGAUGAUCAGCCACACUGGGACUGAGACACGGCCCAGACUCCUACGGGAGGCAGCAGUGGGGAAUAUUGGACAAUGGGCGCAAGCCUGAUCCAGCCAUGCCGCGUGAGUGAUGAAGGCCUUAGGGUUGUAAAGCUCUUUUGUCCGGGAAGAUAAUGACUGUACCGGAAGAAUAAGCCCCGGCUAACUUCGUG
This 431-nucleotide ribosomal RNA is filed under the name uncultured bacterium. RNAcentral describes it as "partial 16S ribosomal RNA". It matches the Rfam family "Bacterial small subunit ribosomal RNA", at positions 29 to 507 of the family's 1533-position model. The record is from RNAcentral.